GCGGGCGUAGCUCAGUUGGUAGAGCGACAGCUUCCCAAGCUGUAGGUCGUGGGUUCGAGACCCAUCGCCCGCU
RNAcentral lists this transfer RNA (73 nucleotides) under bacterium. RNAcentral describes it as "tRNA-Gly". It matches the Rfam family "tRNA". From Rfam's summary of the family: Transfer RNA (tRNA) molecules are approximately 80 nucleotides in length. Their secondary structure includes four short double-helical elements and three loops (D, anti-codon, and T loops). The record is from RNAcentral. RNAcentral also lists the same sequence under 3 other names.